GCGCCCAUAGCUCAAUUGUAGAGUACAUGCCUGAUUAGCGUGUGGUUCGAGGUUCAAGUCCUCGUGGGCGCACCA
RNAcentral lists this transfer RNA (75 nucleotides) under Bacteroidetes bacterium ADurb.Bin174. RNAcentral's name for it is "tRNA-Ile". It matches the Rfam family "tRNA". From Rfam's summary of the family: Transfer RNA (tRNA) molecules are approximately 80 nucleotides in length. Their secondary structure includes four short double-helical elements and three loops (D, anti-codon, and T loops). The record is from RNAcentral. Lineage: Bacteria; Pseudomonadati; Bacteroidota. RNAcentral also lists the same sequence under 1 other name.